GGAAUUGGCCAAAUCGAAUGGUGGCCCCUGUGUAGGCGUUGAAGUGGACAUCCUUCAUCGCAUAAUACACCUCAUAGCACGGGGUGCCAUUCUUCAUGAAGCUGUCUGUCCUCAGCAGCUGGAUUGCCGUGGUCAGCCUUGGUACUGAUCAUCAAAGGAACCUGGUGCGAAGUCAAAGUCGAUUUUUAUUGCAACCUAUAAGAAAAGAAGAAUCUUGACUUUAGAUUUUCGAGUCAGAUGGUGAAUGUGGUUGCAGAUUUGCUGUACUCUAUAAGGCCAAGCGUUCUCCUGGAAACAAAUAUUUGCUGAAGCAAGUUUCGCUCAGAAUCAUUACACUGUUCCAGUCCUUCCUGCACCAGUGACUUGUGCUAGAGAUUGAAUUUGGUUUGAUAAAUAAAUUACUGAAAGAUUGAAAAACUCAUCUCUCCGGAGAGGAAGUUCUGAAAACAUUGAGAAUAAGAAUGGCAAAAUAUGAAAGCCAAAAUAUCUGUUUCCCACUGAAUGGGUCACAUCGUUAGGUCUGAUGGCAACUGGCUUGUUAAGAGCAAAUUCCAGAACAGGACUGACUCAUUUGCAGGCAGUACUGGACUAGGGCCUGCCCAGGUGCUACCACAUGAAUCCAUGGAUCGAUGCAUGGACUGUACAGUCUCAGAAACAGAUCGAUUAGUGACUCUUGAAUAAGACAUCUCAGUUCAGUUUCUGGUGCUCCCUCUUCUUUAAUGUGUGAUCUUGGAUGAGCUGCUCAACCUCUCCGUUUCUCUGUUUCCUCGUGUGUUGGAGAUAAUAAUAGUAUCAACUUUAUUUUAAUGUUGAUAUAUUCAUAACCCAUAGAACAGUAUCUGGCAACUAGAAAUUGUCCAAUAAAUAAAAAAUAAUUAUUA
Long non-coding RNA from Callithrix jacchus (white-tufted-ear marmoset), 881 nucleotides. RefSeq lists it as uncharacterized. Lineage: Eukaryota; Metazoa; Chordata; Mammalia; Primates; Cebidae. The record is from RefSeq and is a predicted model, not a curated record.